RNAcentral lists this ribosomal RNA (497 nucleotides) under uncultured bacterium. RNAcentral's name for it is "partial 16S ribosomal RNA". It matches the Rfam family "Bacterial small subunit ribosomal RNA", at positions 28 to 507 of the family's 1533-position model. The record is from RNAcentral.
GAUGAACGCUGGCGGCGUGCCUAAUACAUGCAAGUCGAGCGAACAGACGAGGAGCUUGCUCCUCUGACGUUAGCGGCGGACGGGUGAGUAACACGUGGAUAACCUACCUAUAAGACUGGGAUAACUUCGGGAAACCGGAGCUAAUACCGGAUAAUAUAUUGAACCGCAUGGUUCAAUAGUGAAAGACGGUUUUGCUGUCACUUAUAGAUGGAUCCGCGCCGCAUUAGCUAGUUGGUAAGGUAACGGCUUACCAAGGCAACGAUGCGUAGCCGACCUGAGAGGGUGAUCGGCCACACUGGAACUGAGACACGGUCCAGACUCCUACGAGAGGCAGCAGUAGGGAAUCUUCCGCAAUGGGCGAAAGCCUGACGGAGCAACGCCGCGUGAGUGAUGAAGGCCUUCGGAUCGUAAAACUCUGUUAUUAGGGAAGAACAAAUGUGUAAGUAACUAUGCACGUCUUGACGGUACCUAAUCAGAAAGCCACGGCUAACUACGUG